AUGUGUACAGUGUGCCCAGUUAAGCAUCCUGGAGUUCAGUAUAUGUUCUAUAGGGUCUGAUAAUGGUCCAGCUUUUGUUCAUCAAUGUCUGCAACAACUAACUCAUGUACUUGGUAUUAAGUGGUGGCUACAUACUGCUUAUAGACCUCAGAGCUCUGGAAAGGUGGAAAGAAUAAACAGAACAAUAAAGACUCAGUUAGCUAAAGUGUGC
This is a non-coding RNA of Pelobates cultripes (western spadefoot toad), 211 nucleotides long. The record is from the annotation of a GenBank genome assembly. Lineage: Eukaryota; Metazoa; Chordata; Amphibia; Anura; Pelobatidae.